This 402-nucleotide ribosomal RNA is filed under the name Enterococcus casseliflavus. RNAcentral describes it as "bacterial SSU rRNA". It matches the Rfam family "Bacterial small subunit ribosomal RNA", at positions 96 to 486 of the family's 1533-position model. The record is from RNAcentral. Lineage: Bacteria; Bacillati; Bacillota; Bacilli; Lactobacillales; Enterococcaceae.
UGGCGAACGGGUGAGUAACACGUGGGUAACCUGCCCAUCAGAAGGGGAUAACACUUGGAAACAGGUGCUAAUACCGUAUAACACUAUUUUCCGCAUGGAAGAAAGUUGAAAGGCGCUUUUGCGUCACUGAUGGAUGGACCCGCGGUGCAUUAGCUAGUUGGUGAGGUAACGGCUCACCAAGGCAACGAUGCAUAGCCGACCUGAGAGGGUGAUCGGCCACACUGGGACUGAGACACGGCCCAGACUCCUACGGGAGGCAGCAGUAGGGAAUCUUCGGCAAUGGACGAAAGUCUGACCGAGCAACGCCGCGUGAGUGAAGAAGGUUUUCGGAUCGUAAAACUCUGUUGUUAGAGAAGAACAAGGGUGAGAGUAAAACGUUCAUCCCUUGACGUAUCUACCAGA